AACCCCUCUCCUCAAAUUACCCCUAAAAUUUCUCUCGGUUUCUCGUUCCAGAUUUUUCUUUUCUUCUCUCGCUUCCCAAAACCCCUCUCUUCAAAGGUACUUCCUCUCUUUGUUCCAAGGUCCGUUGUUGUUUUCUUAUUUUUGUUUUAAUUAAUCGAAUCAUCAUCUUCGUUUUCUUUUUUCUUCUUUUUAUGUAUAUAUUCGGACAAAAUCAAUACACACUUGAUACAAGCAUGUGUUUUGCUUGCAGGGUAUACAGCGAGACGAAGAAAUUCGAAGGAUUCAAAAAGAAAAUAAGGCCAAGUAUUGCGCAGUUAUCUUCGAAAGCAUUAUUUUUAUUUUAUUUUAAUAUAUCUUAU
RNAcentral lists this long non-coding RNA (359 nucleotides) under Glycine max (soybean). RNAcentral's name for it is "long non-coding RNA (GMAX_LNC000608)". Lineage: Eukaryota; Viridiplantae; Streptophyta; Magnoliopsida; Fabales; Fabaceae. The record is from RNAcentral.